This 342-nucleotide small RNA is filed under the name Arabidopsis thaliana (thale cress). RNAcentral describes it as "ATSL053820". Lineage: Eukaryota; Viridiplantae; Streptophyta; Magnoliopsida; Brassicales; Brassicaceae. The record is from RNAcentral.
AAAUAGCUUAUAAUCUUUGGUAGGACAAGAUCCUCCAUAUUCGUAUGCAAAUGGACAUUGGCAAAGUUAUGUGGUAGCUCAUAUUCCCGUUCUGCUAAGGCCAUCUUUUUGUGCUCUUCAGAGCAAUACCGAGAUUCAGGUGCGUAGACACAUGUACAAGACCAGUACGCGAAGGCCUUAUCUUUAUGCACAUAAUGCAUAACACGAAGAUUGGCAACACCCAUUGCAGAAACCUGCUAAUACACAUUGUUAGGUCUAGAGAAAAAAACUCUCUCUCGCAACUUUGAAGAUUUUGUUUGCUCUUUGGAUUGUCGAGAUUGUUUCAUUUCGUGUUUUUAUAUU